UAUCAAUAAGCGAGAAAAGAAACUAACAAGGAUUCCCYYAGUAACGGCGAGUGAAGCGGGAUGAGCUCAAAUUUAAAAUCUGGCUGGUUUACUAGUCCGAAUUGUAGUUUAAAGAAGCGUUUUCGGUGGCAGCCUGGGUAUAAAUCCUUUGGAACAGGGUAUCAUAGAGGGUGAGAAUCCCGUCUUUGACUCAGUGCAUGCUACUAUGUGAUACGUUUUCAAAGAGUCGAGUUGUUUGGGAAUGCAGCUCAAAAUGGGUGGUAAAUUUCAUCUAAGGCUAAAUAUUGGCGAGAGACCGAUAGCGAACAAGUACCGUGAGGGAAAGAUGAAAAGAACUUUGAAAAGAGAGUUAAACAGUGCGUGAAAUUGUUGAAAGGGAAACGCUUGACACCAGUCAUGCGAGCGGAAAAUCAGUCUUUUGCAGUGGGGAGUUGUGUGGGUUCGGACCGCAAGGCCGGCCUGUGCUGCAUCUCUGCUGUAAGUGAUGCACUUUUUCGUUUGCAGGCCAACAUCAGUUUCUUCUGCUGGACAAAACUCUUGAGAAGGUAGCAGCUUUGGCUGUGUUAUAGCUCUUGAGCGAUACAGUGGAGGGGACUGAGGUUUUCGCAGCGCGUGCUCUCGGGCAAGGCUGAUUGGGUGCUAUGGGAUCGUUCGGUGUACAAUGCAUGCAUUUUGCGCCGUGUCUUUUCUAUACUCGCUCAACUCGGCUCUUCCGCGCUUAGGAUGUUGGCUUAAUGGUUUUAAUCGACCCGUCUUGAAACACGGACCAAGGAGUCUAACAUAUAUGCAAGUGUUUGGGUGGCAAACCCAUGCGCGUAAUGAAAGUGAACGUAGGUGCGAUCCGCAAGGUGCAGCAUCGACCGAUCUUGAUAYUUUUUGGAUAGAUUUGAGUAAGAGCAUAUAUGCUGGGACCCGAAAGAUGGUGAACUAUGCCUGAAUAGGGUGAAGCCAGAGGAAACUCUGGUGGAGGCUCGUAGCGAUUCUGACGUGCAAAUCGAUCGUCAAAUUUGGGUAUAGGGGCGAAAGACUAAUCGAACCAUCUAGUAGCUGGUCUGC
This 1056-nucleotide ribosomal RNA is filed under the name Mortierella alpina. RNAcentral describes it as "LSU rRNA". It matches the Rfam family "Eukaryotic large subunit ribosomal RNA", at positions 41 to 959 of the family's 3401-position model. The record is from RNAcentral. Lineage: Eukaryota; Fungi; Mortierellomycota; Mortierellomycetes; Mortierellales; Mortierellaceae.